GGCCAGACUCCUACGGGAGGCAGCAGUGGGGAAUAUUGGGCAAUGGGCGCAAGCCUGACCCAGCAACGCCGCGUGAAGGAAGAAGGCUUUCGGGUUGUAAACUUCUUUUCUGAGGGACGAUAGUGACGGUACCUCAGGAAUAAGCCACGGCUAACUACGUGCCAGCAGCCGCGGUAAUACGUAGGUGGCAAGCGUUAUCCGGAUUUACUGGGUGUAAAGGGCGUGUAGGCGGGAUGGUAAGUCAGAUGUGAAAACUAUGGGCUCAACCCAUAGCCUGCAUUUGAAACUAUCGUUCUUGAGUGUUGGAGAGGCAGGCGGAAUUCCGUGUGUAGCGGUGAAAUGCGUAGAUAUACGGAGGAACACCAGUGGCGAAGGCAGCAUACCGGCGCCCAACUGACGCUGAAGCACGAAAGCGUGGGUAUCGAACAGGAUUAGAUACCCUAGUA
Molecule: ribosomal RNA, 446 nt
Filed under: uncultured bacterium
Lineage: Bacteria
Description: bacterial SSU rRNA
Rfam family: Bacterial small subunit ribosomal RNA
Source: RNAcentral